RNAcentral lists this non-coding RNA (91 nucleotides) under Streptomyces sp. RNAcentral describes it as "ZTP sequence". It matches the Rfam family "ZMP/ZTP riboswitch aptamer (pfl RNA motif)". Rfam says of the family: Previously known as pfl RNA. RNAcentral also lists the same sequence under 1 other name. Lineage: Bacteria; Bacillati; Actinomycetota; Actinomycetes; Kitasatosporales; Streptomycetaceae. The record is from RNAcentral.
GGUACGCGCGGCGACUGGCGUACGGGGAAACGACCCCGGGGAAGCCGCGUGCGGCAGAUCGCACAGGGUGCCGCCCGCCUGGGCACCCCGG